Molecule: unclassified non-coding RNA, 329 nt
Filed under: soil metagenome
Description: partial contains 5.8S ribosomal RNA, internal transcribed spacer 2, and large subunit ribosomal RNA
Rfam family: 5.8S ribosomal RNA (bases 1-120)
Source: RNAcentral
GAUGAAGAACGUAGCGAAAUGCGAUAAGUAGUGUGAAUUGCAGACUUUAGUGAAUCAUCGAAUCUUUGAACGCACAUUGCGCCCCUUGGUAUUCCAUUGGGCAUGCCUGUUCGAGCGUCAUUUAACCCCUCAAGCACUGCUUGGUGUUGGGCGUUUUGUCUACGGACUCGCCCCAAAUCUAUUGGCAGCAGCCUUACCAGCUUCUUGCGCAGUACAAUGCGCUUUGAGAAGCCUGUGUAGUGGUGUGCAAUACAGUAAGCAACUCUUUAUUGUGACCUCGAAUCAGGUAGGGAUACCCGCUGAACUAAAGCAUAUCAAUAAGCGGAGGA